RNAcentral lists this long non-coding RNA (1060 nucleotides) under Podarcis muralis (Common wall lizard). Its description in RNAcentral is "lncRNA (ENSPMRG00000018541.1)". Lineage: Eukaryota; Metazoa; Chordata; Lepidosauria; Squamata; Lacertidae. The record is from RNAcentral.
CCUACUUAGGAGCAUCCCUUGUAGAUGCUGCCGCAAAAGAGUGCAGAACGAGACAGAAAAGUAGUUUUGUAACAUUAAUUUGUUUUUAUUAAGAAGACAGAUACUUUAUAGUACUUCUUUUUCUUUGUAAAAAUGGUAUACAUGAACCAAUACAAAAUGUGAAUGGGAAGAUAUGAAUAUGCGUUUUCUUACACUGCAACAUUGUCCAUGGACACCUUAAAACAGAAUCGGCCUAAGGGGGCAGAAGUAACGAAAUGUCACUGGCGGUGAGUAAAGAACAAGCUUAUUUGGCAUCAGUUAUGCAUCCCAUAUUUUUCUUGGCAACAUUCCUAUUUUGCUGUUGCUGAUGUUAUAAAAAAUAAACUCCCCAACCACAAAGCCCAAGAAAAAUCUCCAAGCUGCAAACCCCCGGGAAACAAGUUUGUUCUUUCUCCACUCUUAACAAAAUCCUUGUAAUCUAACCCUGUACAAAUCAAUACUUAACAAUACAUUUCAAACAGUGCACUGUAUACUUGCAGGGGGGCAGGGGGAAAGAAAAGUAAAAACCCUUUAAAACUUGAUAUACAACUAAAACCCAUCAGUUCCUGUUGUGGUUGCUCGUUGUGUUCUCUUCCAACGUGUGGGGCCAAAAACUUUUCGCGAUCUACCUGAGACGGAAAACACCAAUCAAAACACAUGAACCUGAGACAUGUCAACAUUAUUAAGUCAAAGUUACAUUGGGAACACUUGCACGACUGUACACUUUUCAAAACAAAGAUGAGCUGCUCAGGGAACGGUAUGCCAGUUCUGUGAUCAAUGGGUAGAAAAAAGCCUUUUAAAAUACAUCUAGAGAUGAUAUUCUCCCCUAAUAAAACUUGGCAUGUACGUAACAUGACUGCCGCUAAAAUUAAUCCUUCAAAUGCCUUAAUUCCGUAAUGAACUGAGGGGUUGCCUCAUGAGCUAGCCUCUUCUUAAUGCCAACCCUUUAUCUGGUGCCUCAUUAAAAAAAAUAAAAAUCCUGAUUCACAUCACACGUCGCUUUCUCCUUUUGGUAAAAGAGUUUAGAAGCAGCGUAUUAUCC